UAAACUAGUUACAAACCCGUGCUUCGCACGGGUUGAAUAACGUAUCUUAUAAAAAAAAUAUUCCAAAAGAAAUAUUUACCAAAAAUAUUUAUGAAAGCUCUACCAAGUCUUGAUUCAUGAAAAGAUGAUAUACUUUGUUCAUGAAACCAGGAAAACACGAUCAUAAUUAAGUUGAAACUAAUUGGAACCAAUGCAGGGUAAAGAGCAUAGAAAUAAAUUUGAACUUCAUCGAGUUUUUUUCUAUUUUUUAAACAGUUUCACUUAUCACCUAUAGAAGUUGAGAUUUGAUUAGAUAUGAUUGUUGGU
Molecule: long non-coding RNA, 306 nt
Filed under: Medicago truncatula (barrel medic)
Lineage: Eukaryota; Viridiplantae; Streptophyta; Magnoliopsida; Fabales; Fabaceae
Description: long non-coding RNA (MTRU_LNC007757)
Source: RNAcentral